Molecule: microRNA precursor, 70 nt
Filed under: Marmota monax (woodchuck)
Lineage: Eukaryota; Metazoa; Chordata; Mammalia; Rodentia; Sciuridae
Source: RNAcentral
UGUAUAUGUGUAUAUGUGUGUGUGUGUGUGUGUACACACACACACACACACACACAUACACAUAUACAUA